AAAGAUUUUGUUAAGCAUAUUGUAAUAACUCAAAUUUGCCCGGUCCAUAAAAUAAAUAAAACAAAAAAACAAAAAAUAAUAAAAGUCCUUUUACAAGUCCAAAUUGAUAGCCUAUAGACAUAGCCCAGCUUGAGCACUAUCUAUGGCCCAUUUACAAGAGACACUAGUAGCCCACAUACACCUAAAACCCUUAGCUCGAAUACCCAAAUUAGACCCAAAUCAGCGAGGCCCAGGAUGGCCCAAUGCCUAAACCAAAUUAGGAAACCCUAGGGUUUCUAGAAACAUUUGCGCCGCAAGCCUGAUCCCAAUCGUCACGCCGAAGUCAGCAACCAGGCCUCAUCUCGCGCCGUAAUCAGCGUGCCAACCCCUCGUCACCGGAUCUUCACUCGCCUGCAAAAGGAAAGAAACAACAAAGACAACGCAAAUAUAGCAGGAAAUAAAGAUUGUAAAUAUAUUUUCAGUGGCUAUAAAAGCCCGAAUCAAAAUGAUGUAAAUAGGGGUUUUUUUUUUUGAUACGCACAUAUACAAUCAAAGUACAGCAGUUUAUCGAAGAAACAGAGGUGAUUGGUUUUAUCAUUGUUUUUAUUCAGAAUAUAUACAUAUAAAAAGAAACUAAAAAGUAAUAAAAGAUUAUUACCUCUCUAUUCGCUGUAAAAAGCGAAACUUUUUCGAAUUCCGACCGCCGUACAUGGCAGAGUCGACGGUGGCUCGUGGGCGCGUGAGAGCCCGAUGACGGAGGCUCGACGGAGCUCCGAGGGCCUGUUCUCUGUCCCCUUCAGAGCUUUCUUCAGUUUUUU
Molecule: long non-coding RNA, 797 nt
Filed under: Gossypium barbadense (sea-island cotton)
Lineage: Eukaryota; Viridiplantae; Streptophyta; Magnoliopsida; Malvales; Malvaceae
Description: long non-coding RNA (GBAR_LNC005662)
Source: RNAcentral